Molecule: transfer RNA, 81 nt
Filed under: compost metagenome
Description: tRNA-Thr
Source: RNAcentral
GCUUCCCGUAGGCGACGGACACCGCCCGCUGGUCAUGGGCAUUCUCAAUAUCACCCCGGAUUCGUUUUCUGACGGGGGGCA